Molecule: transfer RNA, 64 nt
Filed under: Leptobrachium liui (Chong'an moustache toad)
Lineage: Eukaryota; Metazoa; Chordata; Amphibia; Anura; Megophryidae
Description: tRNA-Cys
Source: RNAcentral
GGUCCUGAGGUGUUAUCAUGUCGGAUUGCAAAUCCGAAGACGCGGGUGGUUCUCGCCGGGACUU